ACACAUGCAAGUCGAACGGUAACAGGUCUUCGGAUGCUGACGAGUGGCGAACGGGUGAGUAAUACAUCGGAACGUGCCCAGUAAUGGGGGAUAGCUCGGCGAAAGCCGGAUUAAUACCGCAUACGCCCUGAGGGGGAAAGUGGGGGACCGCAAGGCCUCACGUUAUUGGAGCGGCCGAUGGCUGAUUAGCUAGUUGGUAGGGUAAAGGCCUACCAAGGCGACGAUCAGUAGCUGGUCUGAGAGGACGAUCAGCCACACUGGGACUGAGACACGGCCCAGACUCCUACGGGAGGCAGCAGUGGGGAAUUUUGGACAAUGGGGGAAACCCUGAUCCAGCAAUGCCGCGCGUGCGAAGAAGGCCUUCGGGUUGUAAAGCACUUUUGUCAGGGAAGAAAUCCUUUGGGCUAAUACCCUAGGGGGAUGACGGUACCUGAAGAAUAAGCACCGGCUAACUACGUGCCAGCAGCCGCGGUAAUA
This 477-nucleotide ribosomal RNA is filed under the name uncultured bacterium. RNAcentral describes it as "bacterial SSU rRNA". It matches the Rfam family "Bacterial small subunit ribosomal RNA", at positions 51 to 525 of the family's 1533-position model. The record is from RNAcentral.